Molecule: ribosomal RNA, 1404 nt
Organism: Drosophila sechellia
Lineage: Eukaryota; Metazoa; Arthropoda; Insecta; Diptera; Drosophilidae
Rfam family: Eukaryotic small subunit ribosomal RNA
Source: Rfam
AUUCUGGUUGAUCCUGCCAGUAGUUAUAUGCUUGUCUCAAAGAUUAAGCCAUGCAUGUCUAAGUACACACGAAUUAAAAGUGAAACCGCAAAAGGCUCAUUAUAUCAGUUAUGGUUCCUUAGAUCGUUAACAGUUACUUGGAUAACUGUGGUAAUUCUAGAGCUAAUACAUGCAAUUAAAACAUGAACCUUAUGGGACAUGUGCUUUUAUUAGGCUAAAACCAAGCGAUCGCAAGAUCGUUAUAUUGGUUGAACUCUAGAUAACAUGCAGAUCGUAUGGUCUUGUACCGACGACAGAUCUUUCAAAUGUCUGCCCUAUCAACUUUUGAUGGUAGUAUCUAGGACUACCAUGGUUGCAACGGGUAACGGGGAAUCAGGGUUCGAUUCCGGAGAGGGAGCCUGAGAAACGGCUACCACAUCUAAGGAAGGCAGCAGGCGCGUAAAUUACCCACUCCCAGCUCGGGGAGGUAGUGACGAAAAAUAACAAUACAGGACUCAUAUCCGAGGCCCUGUAAUUGGAAUGAGUACACUUUAAAUCCUUUAACAAGGACCAAUUGGAGGGCAAGUCUGGUGCCAGCAGCCGCGGUAAUUCCAGCUCCAUAGCGUAUAUAAAGUUGUUGCGGUAAAACGUUCGUAGUUGAACUUGUGCUUCAUACGGGUAGUACAACUUACAAUUGUGGUUAGUACUAUACCUUUAUGUAUGUAAGCGUAUUACCGGUGGAGUUCUUAUAUGUGAUUAAAUACUUGUAUUUUUUCAUAUGUUCCUCCUAUUUAAAAACCUGCACUAGUGCUCUUAAACGAGUGUUAUUGUGGGCCGGUACUAUUACUUUGAACAAAUUAGAGUGCUUAAAGCAGGCUUCAAAUGCCUGAAUAUUCUGUGCAUGGGAUAAUGAAAUAAGACCUCUGUUCUGCUUUCAUUGGUUUUCAGAUCAAGAGGUAAUGAUUAAUAGAAGCAGUUUGGGGGCAUUAGUAUUACGACGCGAGAGGUGAAAUUCUUGGACCGUCGUAAGACUAACUUAAGCGAAAGCAUUUGCCAAAGAUGUUUUCAUUAAUCAAGAACGAAAGUUAGAGGUUCGAAGGCGAUCAGAUACCGCCCUAGUUCUAACCAUAAACGAUGCCAGCUAGCAAUUGGGUGUAGCUACUUUUAUGGCUCUCUCAGUCGCUUCCCGGGAAACCAAAGCUUUUGGGCUCCGGGGGAAGUAUGGUUGCAAAGCUGAAACUUAAAGGAAUUGACGGAAGGGCACCACCAGGAGUGGAGCCUGCGGCUUAAUUUGACUCAACACGGGAAAACUUACCAGGUCCGAACAUAAGUGUGUAAGACAGAUUGAUAGCUCUUUCUCGAAUCUAUGGGUGCCUGGUACAGCCCGUUCUUAGUUCGUGGAGUGAUUUGUCUGGUUAAUCCGAU